RNAcentral lists this ribosomal RNA (454 nucleotides) under uncultured Porphyromonadaceae bacterium. Its description in RNAcentral is "partial 16S ribosomal RNA". It matches the Rfam family "Bacterial small subunit ribosomal RNA", at positions 341 to 792 of the family's 1533-position model. Lineage: Bacteria; Pseudomonadati; Bacteroidota; Bacteroidia; Bacteroidales; Porphyromonadaceae. The record is from RNAcentral.
ACGGGAGGCAGCAGUGAGGAAUAUUGGUCAAUGGGCGGAAGCCUGAACCAGCCAAGUCGCGUGAAGGAUGAAGGUAUUAUGUAUUGUAAACUUCUUUAGUCGCAGAGAAAUAAGGCGGACGAGUCCGCUGAUGCUAGUAUGCGAAGAAUAAGGAUCGGCUAACUCCGUGCCAGCAGCCGCGGUAAUACGGAGGAUCCGAGCGUUAUCCGGAUUUAUUGGGUUUAAAGGGUGCGCAGGCGGUGGAUCAAGUCAAUGGUGAAAUGGUGCGGCUCAACCGUAGCAUUGCCGUUGAAACUGGUUCACUUGAGUGCGGACGAGGCAGGCGGAAUGUGUUGUGUAGCGGUGAAAUGCAUAGAUAUGACACAGAACACCGAUUGCGAAGGCAGCCUGCCAGGCCGCAACUGACGCUGAGGCACGAAAGUGCGGGGAUCGAACAGGAUUAGAUACCCUGGUA